AAAAUUUUAUCAUCUUAAUAUUUAAAAAUUCCAAUCCGAUUCAAAUCCCAGAAAAUUCCAACUUCAUCUCUCUCUCUCUCUCUCUCACAUAUAUUAAACGAGGAAGAGUCAAAAUUACAAAAGUUCAUCCCAAUUUGUUUUCCUUAUUUCUUUCCCUUCUUGAAAGUCCUUGUUUCUUUCCACUCUCUUAUCUAAUUUAAUAUUCUCUAAAUGAAUCGAACUCAAAUUUUAAUUUGAGUUUGAUAUCUAACUGGAUAUAUCCAUACUCAGAUCAAUUUAGUCAAAAGUUUAAGUGCAACGGAAUUAUCUGGUCUACAACAUGAAAAUGAAAUGGACACCUGAAUUUGGUUAUCUACCUUGAGGCAUGGAUGAAGCAACAAAAAGUUGCCGAAGUUGGCCUAUAAAAGAAAUCUACCUAGUGAUCACAUUACGUUGUAUCAAGCUUCCUGUUGCAUUUCAAUUCCCAGUAAUCAGGCAAAAACAAGGGACAUGGAAUCAAGGAAACUUAGGAAAGAUAUAUGCAGGCAUAGUGGGGAGACAUUGCUCAUUGCUGGGGUCUCUUGAGGCACGAACCAUAUGCUGUCCAAUGUGUGGUGCUAAUACAAUACUUCAAAUGCCACAGCAGCUGGUCCCUCCUCCUGCGCAUGGACAGGCGUUAUGCCGUUAUCUACAAGGGACAUCCAAAGAUUGUCGAGGGUAGCAUCAAUGAUGUGUUAUUGACGAAAAAUCUUCUGGUUAAGAGGUUGGGCAUUCCCAAUUCUUCCAUCCAUUUUCUUGCAGGAAUCACCAGCUCUCUCUCUGUCCUACCAAAAAUAGUCUUUCUAUAAUGCCUAGACAGCUCAAAACUAGUAAUUGUUAGAAUAUACCUGCACCAAACACCAGCAGAUUCCAACAGAUUCCAGUAGCUUCCAGCUUCUUCCAGAUUUCAGCUGUAAUGUUAGUUACUAGUUUGUUAGUUGGUUAGUUCUUUCUCUAUAAAUACAGCAUGG
RNAcentral lists this long non-coding RNA (989 nucleotides) under Olea europaea subsp. europaea. Lineage: Eukaryota; Viridiplantae; Streptophyta; Magnoliopsida; Lamiales; Oleaceae. The record is from RNAcentral.